Tupaia belangeri chinensis (Chinese tree shrew) is the source of this 1135-nucleotide long non-coding RNA. RefSeq lists it as uncharacterized. NCBI's taxonomy places the organism in Eukaryota, Metazoa, Chordata, Mammalia, Scandentia, Tupaiidae. The transcript is spliced from 2 exons. The record is from RefSeq and is a predicted model, not a curated record.
GUGUGUGUGUGUGUGUGUGUGUAAGUUUAUUUCUUCCAUGGGAGAGAUGGGAGGUGUGGGACAGGUACCCUUGUUAGUUGUUGCCACACCAUGAUCCACCCCUGCCACCCUUUGGGCCCACCAGGGUCACAGGUGCAUGCGUACACCCAGUAUGUUCAGUCGACUGAGAUCUGAACCCCAGUCUACCAUGCAGCUCCAGCAUUUCAGAGCGUCAUCCUGUAACCUGUGCCACCGUGACUGGACCCUUUUCCUUUUCUCUCCAUCAUUACUGGACUGUAAAAAGCUCAGUUCCAUGGAUGAGCUUCUGAGGCCCUGCAGGACUGUGUUUUUGAUGAAAUGGGGAUAGAGUGGGGUAACCAUUGAAGACAGUGCUUUUGAAACUGCCCAACAGAGGUCUUUCCGGACUGGCUGCUGAUAGAGGUGAUAUGUGGACAGGGAUCUCUCACUGCUCGCUUUCUCUUACGUAUUGGGCUGCUUCUGGUUGUGGCCAAAGAUAUUAAAGCCAUCGCAUUUAUGUGAGAUUUUCAGAACUUAUCUUUGGCACGUCUUGCUUCGCAGUUUAGUAUGGUCAUGUUUCCAUCCUUCAUGGCCAUUCUACUUGGCAUUUAUUAAACUUGGCGGAGUGCACCAGCCUGAAUUUAAUAAAAUCAUAGCAUUAUUUAACCACAGUUGGUCUAGAAUUGCCCUGCCUCUGAAACAUUAGCCUUGCUCAGAGUAAGCAUUUAGAGAUAAUUUCCCUAAUUAGGAAACAAAUAAUUUGAAAUUAGCUUCUUCUUCUUCUUUUUUUUUUUUUAAGAAUUUUUUUGCUAUAGGGUGCAUGCACUCACCAGAGAGACAGACAGUGAGAAAUCACCCACUGGGGGGAUGGCCACACUGCAGUCUCUUCUCUAGUGUCUUCUCAGGAUUUUGGGCACACAUGCACCCAUGCUCAAAAUUAGUUUGAAACCAAUGGGUCUGAGACAAAACUGCCAUUGGUGUUGCCACACCAAUGCUGGAGUCCAGCAACAUAAUCAUUAUGCCAUCUGCUGGUCCCAGUUUUUGAUUGUCAGUGGGCUUAUACUUGCCAGAGGAAAAGACAAAAAGAAAGCAUCCCUCAAUGAGGGAUGGUUAUGCUGUAAUCUCUUCUUCAUUUCUC